Molecule: ribosomal RNA, 773 nt
Filed under: uncultured bacterium
Lineage: Bacteria
Description: bacterial SSU rRNA
Rfam family: Bacterial small subunit ribosomal RNA
Source: RNAcentral
AGAGUUUGAUCCUGGCUCAGGACGAACGCUGGCGGCGUGCUUAACACAUGCAAGUCGAACGGAAAGGCCCUUCGGGGUACUCGAGUGGCGAACGGGUGAGUAACACGUGGGUGAUCUGCCCUGCACUCUGGGAUAAGCCUGGGAAACUGGGUCUAAUACCGGAUAGGACCGCAUGCUUCAUGGUGUGUGGUGCAAAGCUUUUGCGGUGUGGGAUGAGCCCGCGGCCUAUCAGCUUGUUGGUGGGGUAAUGGCCUACCAAGGCGACGACGGGUAGCCGGCCUGAGAGGGUGACCGGCCACACUGGGACUGAGAUACGGCCCAGACUCCUACGGGAGGCAGCAGUGGGGAAUAUUGCACAAUGGGCGCAAGCCUGAUGCAGCGACGCCGCGUGAGGGAUGACGGCCUUCGGGUUGUAAACCUCUUUCAGUAGGGACGAAGCGAAAGUGACGGUACCUACAGAAGAAGGACCGGCCAACUACGUGCCAGCAGCCGCGGUAAUACGUAGGGUCCGAGCGUUGUCCGGAAUUACUGGGCGUAAAGAGCUCGUAGGUGGUUUGUCGCGUUGUUCGUGAAAACUCACAGCUUAACUGUGGGCGUGCGGGCGAUACGGGCAGACUAGAGUACUGCAGGGGAGACUGGAAUUCCUGGUGUAGCGGUGGAAUGCGCAGAUAUCAGGAGGAACACCGGUGGCGAAGGCGGGUCUCUGGGCAGUAACUGACGCUGAGGAGCGAAAGCGUGGGUAGCGAACAGGAUUAGAUACCCUGGUAGUCCCA